RNAcentral lists this ribosomal RNA (253 nucleotides) under uncultured prokaryote. Its description in RNAcentral is "partial 16S ribosomal RNA". It matches the Rfam family "Bacterial small subunit ribosomal RNA", at positions 525 to 777 of the family's 1533-position model. The record is from RNAcentral.
ACGUAGGUGGCAAGCGUUGUCCGGAUUUACUGGGCGUAAAGGAUGCGUAGGCGGACAUUUAAGUCAGAUGUGAAAUACCCGAGCUUAACUUGGGUGCUGCAUUUGAAACUGGGUGUCUAGAGUGCAGGAGAGGUAAGUGGAAUUCCUAGUGUAGCGGUGAAAUGCGUAGAGAUUAGGAAGAACACCAGUGGCGAAGGCGACUUACUGGACUGUAACUGACGCUGAGGCACGAAAGCGUGGGGAGCAAACAGGA